AGCAGCCGCGGUAAUUCCAGCUCCAAUAGCGUAUAUUAAAGUUGUUGCAGUUAAAAAGCUCGUAGUUGAAUUUCGGGAUCAAUUUGCUGGUCGUGCCUUCGGUACGCACUGGUAUUAUUGGUUUCUCCUUUCUGAUGAAUCGCGAUGUCAUUAAUUUGGUGUCGUGGGGAAUCAGGACCGUUACUUUGAAAAAAUUAGAGUGUUUAAAGCAGGCUCACGCUUGAAUACAUUAGCAUGGAAUAAUGAAAUAGGACGUUUGAUUCUAUUUUGUUGGUUUCUAGGAUCGACGUAAUGAUUAAUAGGGAUAGUUGGGGGCAUUAGUAUUCAAUUGUCAGAGGUGAAAUUCUUGGAUUUAUUGAAGACUAACUACUGCGAAAGCAUUUGCCAAGGAUGUUUUCAUUAAUCAAGAACGAAAGUUAGGGGAUCGAAGACGAUCAGAUACCGUCGUAGUCUUAACCGUAAACUAUGCCGACUAGGGAUCGGAUGAUGUAAUUUUUAAUGACUCAUUCGGCGCCUUAAC
RNAcentral lists this ribosomal RNA (520 nucleotides) under uncultured Glomus. Its description in RNAcentral is "SSU rRNA". It matches the Rfam family "Eukaryotic small subunit ribosomal RNA", at positions 569 to 1092 of the family's 1831-position model. The record is from RNAcentral. Lineage: Eukaryota; Fungi; Glomeromycota; Glomeromycetes; Glomerales; Glomeraceae.